GACGAACGCUGGCGGCGUGCUUAACACAUGCAAGUCGAACGGAAAGGCCCUGCUUUUGUGGGGUGCUCGAGUGGCGAACGGUUGAGUAACACGUGAGUAACCUGCCCUUGACUUUGGGAUAACUUCAGGAAACUUGGGCUAAUACCGGAUAGGAGCUCCUGCUGCAUGGUGGGGGUUGGAAAGUUUCGGCGGUUGGGGAUGGACUCGCGGCUUAUCAGCUUGUUGGUGGGGUAGUGGCUUACCAAGGCUUUGACGGGUAGCCGGCCUGAGAGGGUGACCGGCCAAAUUGGGACUGAGAUACGGCCCAGACUCCUACGGGAGGAAGCAGUGGGGAAUAUUGCACAAUGGGCGGAAGCCUGAUGCAGCAACGCAGCGUGCGGGAUGACGGCCUUCGGGUUGUAAACCGCUUUCGCCUGUGACGAAGCGUGAGUGACGGUAAUGGGUAAAGAAGCACCGGCUAACUACGUG
RNAcentral lists this ribosomal RNA (468 nucleotides) under uncultured bacterium. RNAcentral's name for it is "partial 16S ribosomal RNA". It matches the Rfam family "Bacterial small subunit ribosomal RNA", at positions 28 to 507 of the family's 1533-position model. The record is from RNAcentral.